AUGUGUAUGUGUGUGGGGGGGGUGGUAGGGUGUGGGGGGUGUUUAUGUGGAGUUGUGGGGGUGGGGGUGGGGGUGGUGGGGGGUGGUAUGUGUGGGUGGGGGGGAUGUGUGAUGUGUGCGUGUGUGUGUUUUCAGAUGGAAAGCUUUAAGUGCUGCGACAAUGGUAGCCAAGGAAGAACGCAUAAAUAUGUGUGGAGUGAAGACACUAACCUUUUCCCAUGUCUAAGAGAGGCUGGUGGUUUUCUCUUGUGCACGGGAGUCUCCUGAAUACCCCCCCGCCUCCUGAAACUCCAGUGAGUUUAGAAAUGGGAGAACUGGGGCAUUUCAGCCUGGCAGCAGCUUCAGGCAGCACCAAGUAAGUCCGCGCAGGGGCAGGAGGCUGCCCAAGGCUAGGAAGAACACCUAGAGUUGUCCCUAGGAUAGAAAAUCAGCCCAUUGGCCUGAGGCACACUGUUUUAGGCACAGUGAAAGAGUGCUUGAUUUGGAAUUCCUAUGUUUAACUUCCCCCUCACUACCACUUAUUAUCUGUGGCCUCGGUUUCCUGCUUCAGAAAAUGAAAUGGGGUGGGGGGAACUCAAUGACCUUGAAAGUCCCAUCUAGCUCUGCAUAUGUGAUUCUGUGAUCUUGCCUGCUGUAAUUAGGGAGCCAGCUGGGAAAGGGGUAAGUUGGCUUUGCCAGCAGGCCUUAAAAAAGACCUGAGGCUUGUAGGAAUACAGUCAGUCUAAACUCCUCCUCAUCAACUCAAAAGGGGUCUGAUUUGUUUCAGUCUUAUACUGAAACAAUGAGGGAUGGUCUUGGCCCCCCAGCCUCACUAAAGAAUACUAAGCAAUAUUAAGCUUCUUAUAAGCCUUUGAAGGGUUUACAGUUAAAACACACGCACACACACACACACACACACACACACACACACACAGAGACAAAAGCCACAGAAGCCAUACAACCAAAUCAAAAGCACUGAAGAAAAAUAUAGUUAUGCUCUCUUUAUUCUGUGCACCUAAGUGCAUUGUGGGGGAAGAGUUAUAGGAGUCCUAUGACCAGACAGUGGAGCUUGAAGGAAACUGUCUCUUCUAUUUUAUCAGAAAGAUGAGAAAGGCAAUCCUUAGACUGAAAAAAAAAAGCCCCUUUUCCCACCAACCAAAACCAUCCAAGAGGUUCCAACAAAUACAGUUUUCAUUAUCCCUGGGGCUUGUUAGGCAGCAUAGGUAGAUAGAAUGCUGGACUUGGAGUCAGGAAGACCUGAGGUUGACUCAUGCCACAUAGAUACUAG
RNAcentral lists this long non-coding RNA (1267 nucleotides) under Phascolarctos cinereus (koala). Its description in RNAcentral is "lncRNA (ENSPCIG00000032662.1)". Lineage: Eukaryota; Metazoa; Chordata; Mammalia; Diprotodontia; Phascolarctidae. The record is from RNAcentral.